AUUUAUAUAGUUUAAUAAAAACAUUACAUUUUCAUUGUAAAAUUAAAAUAUUUUUUUUAUAAAUU
RNAcentral lists this transfer RNA (65 nucleotides) under Tachina stackelbergi. Its description in RNAcentral is "tRNA-Glu". The record is from RNAcentral. Lineage: Eukaryota; Metazoa; Arthropoda; Insecta; Diptera; Tachinidae.